Long non-coding RNA from Amphiprion ocellaris (clown anemonefish), 656 nucleotides. The record is from Ensembl. Lineage: Eukaryota; Metazoa; Chordata; Actinopteri; Pomacentridae.
AUUUGUUCAGUCACAGCAGUACACUGUUGAUGCAUAAAUUGUGCUAAAAGCAGGAAAGCAUUGAAAGCACACCGGUGUGAGGUGAAUGUAAAUCCACUUGCAGCUUUUAAGACAAGGCUCCCCAAAUGGAUAUUAGCAAAAGUGCUGUCGAAGAAAAGCUAGCUUAUCCGGUGAGAGAACCUCAUCAUCAAGAAAGAACAAUACUUUUACUGGACAGGAAUUCAGUCCUGCAUAAUGAGGAAAACUGUUGCAGGCUGUAAAGAAGGAAAAAAAACAGUUUGUUCACGUUCCAGCCAAGAGCAACAGAGGACGAAGAAGCUCUGAGCCAGAGCUGUGGAAGUGCUUAAUGUGGUGAAGCUACAGAGUCGUCCUGGGAACUUUUACUCAAGUACAGUGAUGCAUUUUUGCUGUACUUUGGCCGUUUAUGCCAAUCAAACCCAUCAGAAAUGUUCUUGGAAGUGAAAACAGCAGUUAGAAGUUGUAAAUGUGGCGUUGGGAUGGACGUUUCAGGAACCAUACAGCUCAGAAAUGCUGAUUUAGGCAGUCCACCACCCACCCUAAGUCUGGUUCUGUCUGAUGUCUGAGGAAUCAAGUUUUUCCUCACCAUCGUCACCAAGUGCUGCUCAGAGGGGAAAUGGAUUUCUUUCUACAAUACU